ACUCAAAUUAUGAGUAAUUGAGACAAUUCUCAUAUCCUCCUUGUGCCUAUAUAGCACUUAUGAAAGAAAGAUAUAUUUCUGUGACAGAACACAGACUUCCUCUGCUUCACCAGAAUGAGUAAGGGAGAAAACAAAACCCUCUUUGGAGACUGUCUCUCUUGCAUGAACUCUACUUACCUAAUCAGUUCAUUUUAAGGCAAACGACUGCAGGUAGCAAUCCCACAUGUGGAAAAUUAUUCCCAAGCAUGGGAAAUGGACAAUAGAAAUUCAAAACUAGUAACUGGACGUUCACUUAAAUAUUGCAUUAAUAAAAGCUUUCUAGAAUUAAUAAUAUUAUCAAUCAUAACAUUAUUAAUAACACUGUUUUGGUCAAACUCUAACUUUCCUAUUCACUUCUUUUCCAGAUAAAUCUGCAUUGACUUUCAUAAAAGGUUACUAUAUGGAGAAACCCUCUGGGAUUCCUUUCUUCAGAACAGCAGGGCCCCUGUGAUGGAGAUCUCCUGGAGCACAACCUGAACAGAUCCACACUGGAGCUGGCUGCAGCUUGCAGCUCCACAGGGCUAAAAUGUGUUGUUUUACUUAAUCUUCACUGCACAGAUGCAUUCCAGCACCAACAGUGCUGUUGCAGAUAUUAAGAGUUUUGAUAAUCGAACAAGAAAAUGCUUAUUGUCAGCUGUGGUGCCAGAACACUGGGGGAGUGAAGCUGAGGGAGAAGAAUUUAAUUUAAAAUGCUGACUCUUAACUUCAGUUCUGGCUUGCCCCCUCCUUUUCUUCAUUUGCAUUACCAAACCAAAAUAAGAUUUCUAUGUGUGUUUUAGUUUCUGUGGUUUUGAGAGAAAAGAAAAAAACCUGUUCUUCACCUACAAAAUCCACUGACUGAUGAGAAGGAUGCUAAGGGUAUCCUAUGGUCUAGUGAGAAGAUGAACAGCAGGAUUCACUUCACUUUGUUUGACACAACAAAGAGUAGUUGAAAAUCACAUUUGGCUUUUCUCAAGCUUUCAGAAAUUAUAUUAAAGCAUCUUUCUGCCUUUGCUCCUCUAUAAAUUUGUAGAGUCAAUGCUACAUCUUUUCCCCCACUUCCACCAAAGAGAUAGGAAUGCAGCUUUCUUCCUCUUUUUGUGGACUUGACCCUUUGGAGAAGAGUUAUUUACACCAUUCUAAAAUUCUAAAAUUGUGAAAGUUUUCCUGUUUCAUGUCUAUCAUAGAGAAUGCAAAGUAUUCCUAUCUAAUACAAAUUCUGCAAUUUGGGAUUUCCAUAUCUUCACAUGCUGGCAACAGGAAAUUAUGAAAUUCAUCUUGCAACAGACAACACUGUACUACUGUUGUAUCAAGUAAAUUUUUUUGUUUGUUUUGGAGUUUUUAAGCUAUGGAGUGUUGUUUUGAAUUGAAAUAAAUACAUGAAG
This is a long non-coding RNA of Taeniopygia guttata (zebra finch), 1403 nucleotides long. RefSeq lists it as uncharacterized. Lineage: Eukaryota; Metazoa; Chordata; Aves; Passeriformes; Estrildidae. The record is from RefSeq and is a predicted model, not a curated record.